Molecule: ribosomal RNA, 270 nt
Filed under: uncultured archaeon
Lineage: Archaea
Description: partial 16S ribosomal RNA
Rfam family: Archaeal small subunit ribosomal RNA
Source: RNAcentral
CUGCAGCCCGAGUAGUGACCGUUAUUAUUGGGCCUAAAACGUCCGUAGCCUGUUUGGUAAAUGCUUGGGUAAAUCGUGUAGCUUAACUAUACGAAUACCGGGUAGACUGCCAGACUUGAGACCGGGAGAGGUUGGAGGUACUCCUGGGGUAGAGGUGAAAUUCUGUAAUCCUGGGGGGACCACCAGUGGCGAAGGCGUCCAACCAGAACGGGUCUGACGGUGAGGGACGAAGCCCUGGGGCGCAAACCGGAUUAGAUACCCGAGUAGUCC